GGUGGAGUUUAUCCAGUUCGCUCAUAAUUAACCAGUCCAUCUAUAGAUAGGUGUUUUAGGAUACACUCAUCAAUGCAUUGUCCAGUCAUUUUGUAAAUUCCUGUGAGGUCACUGAUAGGGGAUUAGAAAUCAGUAAUAACUAUAACGGCAAUCAUCGUAAUCACACACAUUUUCAAAUCGACUGUCCUCAUGCAAAUUAAAACGUAAGCUCCGCCCGAUCUGUU
Molecule: long non-coding RNA, 224 nt
Filed under: Mytilus galloprovincialis (Mediterranean mussel)
Lineage: Eukaryota; Metazoa; Mollusca; Bivalvia; Mytilida; Mytilidae
Source: RNAcentral